GCAUCAGCGACGAAGCCUGGGAUCCACUCUGGGCCUGGCAGAAACCGGACAGCGGCUCCGGAGUAUGUGCGAGUGGCUCCAGAUGCCAGACUAUGUUUAAACUUUUGGUUCUGCUCAGCAUUCUGCCUGCUAUUACUUUUGCAUUUCCUCCUUGCUCAAGAAGACCCCGAGAGUCUACACAUGCAGGAAAAGACGUCUUUACAUCGAAAGAAGAAGCCAGUGUCUUCAUACAUAGACGUCUCCUCCACAAUAGAUUUGACUUGGAACUCUUCACUCCUGGAGAUCUGGAAAGAGAGUGUAAUGAGGAACUGUGCAACUAUGAAGAAGCUAGGGAGAUCUUUGGGGAUGAAGACAAGACGAUGGCAUUUUGGCAGGAUUAUUCAGUUCAAGGCCCGAACACAAGAUCAGAUGCUGAGAGAGAGAAGAUCGAUGUUAUGGGACUUCUGACUGGACUAAUUGCAGCUGGAGUGUUCUUGGUUAUCACUGGAUUACUUGGUUACCAUCUCUGCAUCACCAAAUGCACAAGACGAAGACAGCCGUGUUCCUCAGCUGUCUAUAUAAGAGCUGGUCGACAUCAUCCUACUAUUAUCUUUAGCAGACAAGAGGAAUCUGCCUUGACCCAGUCACCUCUUCCCUUGGAGGACUCAGGACUGCCUUCUUAUGAACAAGCUGUGGCAUUGACUAGAAAAUAUGACGUUCCCCCUCCUCCAUAUCCUGGACCAGCAAAAGGGUUUAAGGUGUUUAAAAAGUCUAUGUCGCUCCCUUCUCACUAAAUCCAAUAUCAAUGUAGACAUGGAUGUUUAUUCAAAGAAGGCGCCAUGACUUGGUUCUCCAGUACUUUCAAGUGCUGGCCAUUUCACUUCUGUAAAGGUAUUAAGAAACACAUGGCAAUAAUGAUGACUGUCCAUUUGCUCCAGAUAUCCUGACUUUUAUCUCUGACAUCAGAAUAAUGAGUGAAUUGGCUUCAUUUUUGUGUGCAGCUAGGAGGCAGGCACUGAUUUAGAUGUAGGAGUCUCCAGAUCACCAGCCCAGCUCGUUAGGCAAAAACUCACUAAUUAUAAUGUUCUGAAGGAAGAGUAACAUACCCACCAUCACAGAAAGGGUUCUGGACUGGUUGUGUUGAGAACUGAAUUAUGUAAUACAAGAAUUUCUUUUGCUCUAAGUCUUCUUGAGUCAAGAUACUAGUAUUUUCUCCUCUGUUUAUUUUAACUCUCCAGCAAAGGAGACUUUGUAAAAAAGCUUUUAAACGCCAUGAUAAAUCAGUGGCCUUUAAAACAUAAAGAGAAUCCUGAUGAUUAUUCUAUAUGAAAUAGCACAUGAUGUUGCUUCUAGGUAUUUGUACUUAGAGAUUAUAUCAGCUAUACAUUAGUGGGGAGAAGGAAAGGACACCUUUUUUCUUCUGAUCAAAUGGCUUGCUGCCAUUAAAACUUAGACGGCAGGGGUGUAGUGACACAAGGUUGCAGAUUUGUUAGCUCUGCUAUAAUUCUAGUUCUUUUCUACAACCAAAAAAAAAAGCCUCUAUGACCCAGAAUCUCUAGAUUCUGUAUGAAUCUGCUUGUCCCAUGAGGAAAUAGAUAGAUUCUGUCAACAUGACUAUAUGCUUGGUUCAUAUGGGAUUACUCAGGUUGGGAGUUUUAUUCUAGCUCACAAUUAAUAGUUUAAUCCAGAAGGGAUAAUUUAUUUAUCCUCUUAUCAUCUCUGUUCUGGUUAAAGAUGUGUACAAUUUUGUCACCAGUGACCCUUUGCAUCUCUGUGAUAUGUUUUCUCAGGCAUUAAGGCACACUUAAAAUGAUCAUUCAACCCAGAUUCCCUACAAUCCUCCCUUCUAUUGUCAUUAUUUCUUUAAAGACUUAAAGGAACUUGAAUUCUCUAUAUAUAGAUGUAUAGAUGUACAUAUUUUCCCCCUGUGGGGUGAGGUCAAAUAAUAGUAUAUCCCUGAGAUGGGAAAUAGAAGAUUCUAUUCCUUAUAUAAUUGUCAGUUAUUUCUUUAUUUUUUUGUUUUAUAUGAUAAUUUACAGAGUUUUUUUUUUAAUGGGGGGAGGCUGCAGUCCAUGUCAAUUUGGUGGUGAAUGCUAAACCAAAGUAGUACUGUUGGUUCCCUACCCCUGUAUAUAAAUCACACAUAAGUUGGAGGGUUUUGUAUUCUUGGAUAAUAAGAUCUUAUUUAAUAUAGGCAAAAAAUAAGAUCUUUGCCAUUCUAAACUUUGUAAGGUUUUGUACUCUAGGCAUCUUUUUCAGAGUCCCUUCCAUUGUAUGGCCUACUUGUCACUAACCUGCUCACAGAAUGUCAGAGGUAGAUGUCUUGCAUUCUCAUUGGACAGAGGAGGAAACCAAGACCCAUAGAGGGGAAAGCACCUGCCUAACAUCAUCCGACUCAUAAGUGGCAGAACCAGGAACUUCACAUUUAAUUUGAGAAAAGUAGUCUUUUUCUUUAUGCUACACAUUAUUAUCUAACAAAAAGUACCAGAAAUAAUUAUGUACUAAUUUUACAUACCUUUUCUUGCAUUAGCUUAAAGACUUUUUGUAAAACUUAUUUCUCUCCCACAACCUCAGUUUUUUGCCUUUGACAGUAGAUAAGCUAAUACAACAGAUGUCCUGCAGGGAGACCAAAAUCUCCCAGGGAGUUUGUAGCAGGACUGAAAUAGAAGCUUUUCUCCAAGCCCCCACCUUGCUCACAAGAUCACACAUUACCUAAUGGUAUGUUAGUGACAAUGUGUCCGUAUUUGAAAUUGAUAAUUAAAAGGUGCCUUUCCCUUAAGUGACAGUAGGAAUUUUUCUUCUCAAAUUUUUAUGAGUCCUGCCCACUGACACAUAAGCUCUUAGUCCAAAUUAGCUUCAGAGCCUCUAACUCUCUCCCUGCUGUAUACAGUUGGCACUUAUCAUUUAUCAUAAAACUUCAGUAUGAAAUAAUCUCUGAUUUAUUCUCAGAGGAACUGUGAAAUCCAUGGUGUUUGUAGAGUAUCUCUACAGUUCAUGAUAAGAGGGAAGACCCUAAUUGACAAAUGGCUAUAUUAAAUGCAAUAUUUCAAUAGUAACUUAUUUUUAAAAUUUCACCCUAUUGCUUAUUUUUAUUCCUUUUUGUUGUUGGUUAAUAUUAACUAUGAGAUCUCCAUUGUUUUAAAAUGCUAUCUCAUAGAGCUCCAUUGAGCACAAAAUUUCACAAAUAAUUAGAUAGGACUGGGGUUUUUUGUUUUGUUUUCAUUUUUAUUAGAGGUUGGAUGGAAUGAAGGCUUUAUAUCAGUCUGAUUGGAAAGAGGCUGAUAAAUCUUAGCGGCAUGAUAGUUUCAGUGUAAUGAUUCUACCUGGCCAAGCAAGUCCAGGAGAUAAGUGAUUCACUUUCAGAAAGAAAAACUCUUUUAAAAAAAAAGAAUUCCAUUUGCGUUAUAUUGGUUCUUUCCAGCUGUUUGUAAAUUUCUAAUACACAGUAUAAGAAACUCAAGCUUAUUUAGAAAAGUUUAAAUGAAUAACUGUUGUAUCAUCAUUUGUUAUUGUGAUCUAAACUACCAAUGUAUAUGGGGAUGGGGGUAGGAGGCAGCAUAGGAGCUGGGAGGAUCUUGUCCCUUACUUGGGGCUCCUUCAGCCUGUCUUGUCUUUGAAAAUUGCAACAAUGUAUUCCCCUCCAAUAAAUUAUGAGUGUGUAUGCUUUUUAUGUAUGUAGAAAAUUAAAUUGUUUAUGAUUCUAGGUGCCACACCAGCAGAACUAGAAAGAGUAACUCCUUGAAUUGUUCCCCAAAACUUGUUUCCAGAAUUCCGUUCCAGCUCAUUCUUGCAUUUUUGACAUGGGGCAUUAGUUUCUAGGAUAAGGAAGAUGAAAGAAAAACUCUUUUCCAUGAUUGUUUUUACAUCUUCAUUGAAGACGAACUCCUCUAUCGUACCAAGCCAUUAACUGGAUAUGAAACAACUUAGAAAUAUGUGUUUAUUUGUGUAUAUAUAUGUGUGUAUAAAACUAUGUAUACAUAUGACAUGCACAAUUGAUUCAUCUUCUGAGGGGUGUUUGUCAUUUCUGUGGAUAAAAAUUCUUCAUGAUAUUUAGCUAAGUUAGAUGGUAUGAUCUAGAUGCUGCUGGACGAAUGGGCCAAAGCCUAUCUCUUUUGGGCACUAACUCAAUCAGUCAAAUAAUAUUGUAAGUGCCCAUCAUGUACAAAACCUUGGAACAGAUUGUUCUGUUGGAUGAUGGAACUUCCAUUAUAACAGGCAGUGACUAAACUAGCAUAACAUGGAAUAGUAGGGAUAAAGACUGGACCUGUGAUUUCACUGAUGAGAGAGAACUCUCACGUGAGGAAAAACAGGAAACAAUGAGUUUACAAAAAUGGAUAACAGGGUGAGCUAAGACUUACAAUGAAUUUAAAAAUUUUCCAAAUGGUUUAUUUAAAAAAAUAUGACCCAAAAUGUUACCAAUUUUAUCUUCUAGAGAUUGUGGGUACUACAUAUUCAGAUACUUUAAUGAGGGUAUUGAGUAAUGCCCAUAUUACAGGUCAGUCAUGUCAAUAAGAAAACUGAAGACUGACCUUAAUUAUUGACUACCUCUCUGUUCCCAGGGGAGUCAAUUAUUCCUCUGGCAGGAUUUUGUUCCUACUUCUCAGUGCAUCUAUUAGAAGAGAAAACCUAGGAUGGGGGGAAGGGGAGGGACUGAGGAUGGAAAAGCUUAGCUUUCAGUGUGAUAAUUAUUUUCAGUUUUUUAAAGACAGAGGCUUCCACUGCUGGACCUUUCUCAAAACCAGCCUCAUGUUCUAAAGACUUCAUUCCGGAGGAGGAGGGGGGAGAAGAUUUAAAUAUCAUGUGCUUAAAAAUAAAACUUGCAAAAUGGUGACAAAUCACAAAAUCAACUGUUAGUAAAACAUUUUAGUUCUGAACUCAUUUAGAAUGGAUCCAUUUGCCAUGUUUUCUAUUCAGUUGCAUUUUGAAAGUCUGUAUUUCUACGUGAGUGUAACUUGAUACUAUAGAAAUUCAAUUUUUAUACUUUUUUCUAAUGUAAUGAUAUGCUGUGCUGUGUGCUUCCCUCAGAAAUUUCUGAUCAUUUUUAAAUGUUUCUCUUUGGUUAUGUAAGGCAGUCUGCCCAAUGUGUACUGGUAUUUUUAUCCACUAGAAUAAUCAACUUUUUUAAAAGCGUGCCUUCCCUCAAGUUUUCAUUGUAUCAUAAAUCAUCCUUUCUUAUUGUGUACAUUUUUGUACCUGUAUAAUAAACUUGGUUUGU
Vombatus ursinus (common wombat) is the source of this 5194-nucleotide RNA transcript. It is a transcript of the gene named proline rich and Gla domain 4, with no coding region annotated. The record is from RefSeq and is a predicted model, not a curated record. The transcript is spliced from 7 exons. Lineage: Eukaryota; Metazoa; Chordata; Mammalia; Diprotodontia; Vombatidae.